This 754-nucleotide long non-coding RNA is filed under the name Mus pahari (shrew mouse). Its description in RNAcentral is "predicted gene, 27000 (MGP_PahariEiJ_G0006359.1)". The stretch from base 471 to 572 matches the Rfam family "Maternally expressed 3 conserved region 2". Lineage: Eukaryota; Metazoa; Chordata; Mammalia; Rodentia; Muridae. The record is from RNAcentral.
AGGCUCUCUCUUCAGGGAUGACAUCAUCGGCUCACACCAGUCUUCCAGGACCACCUUCCAGAUGCCAAGGCUGCUGCUCGAGUACCUGCUGUGCAUCUCUACCUCCUGGUACCACAGCCACUCCCUCAAGUUGUCUGCAUGUUAUAUGGCCUAGCCAAGGAGCAUGGAUUCCAGGAACCCACUACCAUUCAGAGCAACUCCUCGUGGACCCCCUCCCCCCCCCGAUCAGGACAGCGAGGGACAAGAGACAAAGAGGAUCAUCAGUGGCCAGCUAGUCUCUCUGGGGUUCAAACCUUGAACCAGUGCCCUAGUGAGGGGGCACUGGCCAUGACCCUUGACCUUUGCUCUGCUUGUGUCUUGAGUCUGAGUCCUUUCCUGUACAUCUGUGCUUGUGUUCAUCUGCUAGUGAACUGGAGUGCUGCCCUCCCCGAGGGGGGUCGUCCCUUGUGACUGACCAUGCUGUCCUAACAAUGGCCUGAGCAAAAGGGUCCCAUUGGGAACCUCUCAGGAGGGGGACCCGGGUCAGGGGCGACCAGCAUCUUGCUGGCAACUCCGUGGGUGGGGUGGGGCGGGGUGCUUCCUUCUGGAAUGAGCACGUGGCUGACCCCAAAGGCAUGUCCCCUCCCCCUCCUCCACCCACCUUCUCAGAGAUGUCCCUUUUGGGGUAGUGGGGACAUUAGGAGCAACCUCCUAGGGUUGUUGUGAGAAUUAAAUGAACUGCAGCAGCCUGAGGCAGGGCUGGGCAGAGACCUCA